AAGUCGUAACAAGGUUUCCGUAGGUGAACCUGCGGAAGGAUCAUUAUUGAAUGAACAUGGAGUUGGUUGUUGCUGGCCCCUUAAUUGGGGCAUGUGCACACCUCCUCUAUUCAUCCACACACACCUGUGAACUUGUGAGACGGAUAGUAGCCCUCUAGGGGGCGAGGUCCGUCUGCUAUACAUAAACUCCAGUAUAUAAAUUCGAAUGUCAUUUGAUGUAACACAUCUAUAAACUAAGUUUCAACAACGGAUCUCUUGGCUCUC
RNAcentral lists this unclassified non-coding RNA (264 nucleotides) under fungal sp. RNAcentral describes it as "partial internal transcribed spacer region". The stretch from base 1 to 46 matches the Rfam family "Eukaryotic small subunit ribosomal RNA", at positions 1786 to 1831 of the family's 1831-position model. The record is from RNAcentral. Lineage: Eukaryota; Fungi.